UUGUCUAUUUAUGAAAUUUUAAAAAUAAAAUUCCAAAAUCUAGUAGCUAAAACUUGUUUUCGAGCCAAAUCAUUUUGGCUUCCAUUUCAGCUCAUAUUCGUCCUUUGGUUACAAUUUUUUAAGUUUUGGCUAAUUGAGGUGUUAGUGUGGAGGAGUAUUUGUCUUGUUGGUUGAUCGGACCAAGAGUCAUCAGUAUGAGGAUUCUCAAUUACUUGCA
RNAcentral lists this long non-coding RNA (217 nucleotides) under Solanum tuberosum (potato). RNAcentral's name for it is "long non-coding RNA (STUB_LNC003058)". The record is from RNAcentral. Lineage: Eukaryota; Viridiplantae; Streptophyta; Magnoliopsida; Solanales; Solanaceae.